RNAcentral lists this ribosomal RNA (486 nucleotides) under Tylopus sp. 4 DAN-2022b. RNAcentral's name for it is "partial large subunit ribosomal RNA". It matches the Rfam family "Archaeal large subunit ribosomal RNA", at positions 1908 to 2630 of the family's 2987-position model. Lineage: Eukaryota; Metazoa; Arthropoda; Diplopoda; Polydesmida; Paradoxosomatidae. The record is from RNAcentral.
UGUCUAUUGUAAUAAAUGAUAGGUAAUUUCUGCUCACUGCAAUUUUGUAAAGAGCUGCAGUAUUUUGACUGUAUAAAGGUAGCAUAAUCAUUAGCUUCUUAAUUAGAGGCUGGUAUGAAUGGGGAGCCGGGGAGAUCGUGUGUUUAUGGAGAGCGUUGAAUUUUAUAGUUUUGUGAAAAAUCAAAGAUGAAUUUAAGGGACAAGAAGACCCUAUUUUAAGUUUUAUGAGUAAAUUUUGGAGAGUAUAAAGGAUAUAAGAGUUAGAUUAAAAUUAGUACAAUUUAAGAAUAUUUGUUUAGCUGGGGCGGUGAGUUUAAAUACACAAUAUAAAUUUUAAUAAUUUUUGUUUAGCGGGCAUUUGACCUGAUGAGGUCAAUUAAAUGGAUAAUUACUUUAGGGAUAACAGCGUUAUUAUUUUUGAGAGUUCUGAUUGACGGAGUAGUUUGCGACCUCGAUGUUGGAUUAAGAUUAGCGUUGGUGCAGUAG